ACUAUAUUAAUGUAUACAGAUAUUCAUUCCACUCCGAUCAUCUCCCACUACUCACUACAAUCUUGAGUUUCAUUCGAUUCACAUCUGAAUUUGAGAGAGAAGGAGAUUAGAUGGCAGAGUCAGCAGCACUUACAGCAGUCAUUAACCAAGCAGUACAAAUAGGCGCCAAUCUAAUUGUCGAAACAGCUCACGCUUGUAUAGAUUGAAGGAAGACAUAGAAUGGAUUGAAGGACAAAUGAGACACUUCAAAUCAUGUCUCAAAGAUGCUGAGUCGAAGCAAGGUGGAAGCCAUGAAGUUGCUAACUUGAUAAUUGACAUGAAAGAGCUUGCUCUGGACAUCGAGGAUAUUUUUGAUACUUCCCUUCCAGAGAUUGAAUCACACAAGGGAAAGGGUCCAUUUCGAUUUGUUAAGCAUGCUGCUUGUAUACUAUGUUAUGGUUUCACUAAAAAUACCUUUGCCCUGAAAAUUGAGAAAAUCAAGAGACGGGCCCAAGAAAUUGAAGCCACUAGAGAAAGAUGCCGUAUUAAUCUGGAUACGGAUGGAGGUAAUGCAGAUAUGGACGUAUGGGAUCGAAGAAAAAAAUUCUUAGUUGCCACAGAUUCAAUAAUUGUUGGUCGUGAAGAUACAUUCCAGGAAUUCAAGGGAAAAUUGACGAACUCAAACUCAGCGUGUAAAAUGAUAUGUGUUGUAGGGGAGGCAGGUGUGGGUAAAACUACAAUUUGUAAAAAAAUAUAUACAGAUAUGCGAAAUGAGUUUACUUCUGCUGCUGUAGUCUGUCUCAAAUGAGCCUAGAGUCCAAGACCUUCUACUUGAAAUAGCAAAGCAAGUUGGCCUUGAAAAGGAAAAGAGGAAUGAAGAUUUGGAGGUCAACUUGCGUUCUCUGCUCAAUGAAAAUAGGUGCUUAAUUUUUCUAGAUGAUAUUUGGACAACUGAAGCAUGGGAUGACUUAAAGAACGUUAUCCCCAUGAACUCAAGAAAUGGUAGCAGAAUUAUCAUUACUUUUCGACGUACUGAUGUGGGCAGAUAUAUAGGUGGUGAAAGCUCUUUGAAUGAAUUAAAACUCUUAGAUAAAGAGAAGAGCUGGGAACUCUUCUUCAAGCUGAUGAAAUCUUCUUCAGGAAAUACGAAUGAGAUACUUCCUUCGAUAGAAUUGGAAGAUAUCGCUAAGAUGAUAGUAGAAAGAUGUGGUGGGUUUCCAUUGGCAAUUGUGGUAGCGGUGGGCAUGUUGCGGCAGAGAAGAAGAAAUAAACAUGCAUGGAAUGAGGUGCUUAAAAUCUUGAGCACCAGUACUGAAAAUAAUUGUUCAAAAAUCUUGUCUCUGAGUUACAAAGAUUUACCUCCUGACUUGCGGCCUUUUUUCCUUUACUUUGGGCUCUUCCCCGAAGAUGAAGAAAUUUCUGUGUCUGAUUUGACCAAGGCUUGGAUUGCCGAGAAAUUGAUCCGGGAUGACGGAAAUCAAAAUCCUGAUGACAUUGCGGCAGCUAAAUUAGAAAUCUUAAGUGAUAGAAAUUUAAUUCAAGUUUCUAUGAGAAAUUUUGAUGGAAGUGUAAAACGUUGUGGCAUUCAUGAUCUUCUACUAGUUCUUUGCAUCAAAAUAGCCAAGGAGAACAAUUUCUUUUGUACACAUCAUGAUAUACACUCUAAUUCUUUUUCAACUCUUCGUAGGCUUACCAUUGACAACACCAGUCAAUAUUCUUUUUCAAAUUCUAAAACUCCAAAACUUCGUACCUUGUUCUAUUUCAAUAACUUGGAAGAAUGGUCUUUGAUUCCUAAUGAGAUAGGAAACCUAAGUAGCUUGACUUACCUUAAGUUGAGUGGGAAGUUUGAAAGGAUGCCUUCAACCAUAAGGAACUUCAAGAAAUUGGUGACACUGGAUGCUAGUCAAGCACUAUUUGAUAUUUUUCCAAGAACUAUUUUCAGGACGAAGAAUUUGAAGCAUUUACUAUGUUUCCUUGACUAUAGGUUUGAGUAUAACACAAGCACAAUUUUGAAUGUCAGAGAUGAGGUGUAUUUACUAAACAUAGAAACUUUAUAUUGGGUGUCUGGUACCAUUUUGAGAGCUAGCUCAUUACAAAAACUCUCCAACUUGAGAGAGUUGGGUUUAUAUGAGAUUAAUGACCAACUUAUAGAUGUAAUAUCUGGUAAAACACCCAUAUUGGAGAAGCUCCAACACUUGCUCUUGAACACUCCGGAGCUUAAGAGGUUAAACCUGUCCCACUAUGACUAUCUUGCUAAGUUGAAUCUGGCACUAAGUCGUGAUUUUCGAUGUACACUUGACACCAUUGAAUUCCCUCCAAACCUCAUCUACCUUAACCUUCAGAUAUGAUAUUCACUGAGGAUCCAAUGAAGGUACUAAAAGAACUACCCAGUCUAGAGAUCCUUAGUUUGUUCUACUGUACGUACAGCAACUCAAUGCUGGAUUUCUCAGGAGCAAACAGCUUUCCAGAGCUUCAAGUGUUGGAAAUUGACGGAACAAAAAUUCCCGAGUUGAUUGUGGAUCAAACAGGGAUGCCAAACCUUUGCAAGUUCGUGUGCUACCAAAAGGACUUAAAUGUUCCGGAGAGACUACGUGAAAUAAUGGUGGAGCCUUGAAGUCAGACUAGUAUUGAAGAGUGGUAACUUCAAAUCAACAAAAAGAGGAGGCUUAUCAAGGUGGACUUUCUAAAUAUUGCCUGUUUUGCUUGUCAAAAGUGAAUAUGGACAUUAGAGUGCUUUUUUACUGCAUCAAUAAUUAGGUGCUACUGUGUGAUAUGAUUUAGAAGUAGUUGUGCUUUUUGAGGGUUUCAUGUAACUAUAGUGUGUUUUCUUUAUCUUGCUUGUGAGUGAUCAUGUUCAAUAUUUUAUCGAUACUUCAUAAAAUAUUUGUCCUUGGAAAACGUUCUCACUUUCUUGACAAUAAAUUUGUACUUUUUGGAAAUUCACUACUGAAUAAUCUUAUUUACUUUUUGAUUA
RNA transcript from Olea europaea var. sylvestris, 2953 nucleotides. RefSeq lists it as uncharacterized. The transcript is spliced from 3 exons. Lineage: Eukaryota; Viridiplantae; Streptophyta; Magnoliopsida; Lamiales; Oleaceae. The record is from RefSeq and is a predicted model, not a curated record.